RNAcentral lists this unclassified non-coding RNA (443 nucleotides) under Hevea brasiliensis (rubber tree). The record is from RNAcentral. Lineage: Eukaryota; Viridiplantae; Streptophyta; Magnoliopsida; Malpighiales; Euphorbiaceae.
AGAGUGUGUUGGAGGUUCUCGGACAAUUACUUACAAUGAUCUGAGCUCGCGCUAUCAUACACAUUGUGACCCAAGACUCAAUGCUUCUCAAGCACUUGAACUUGCCUUUAUUAUUGCGGAGCGCCUCAGGAAAAGAAGACUGGGUCCUAAGUUUGGGUUUUAGAAAACCGAUCUUACUCCCCUUUCACUAGUAUUCGCAGUUUGGCCUCUGUGUGAAGAGGUAUAAGCAUAGUAUGGGAAGAUUCAAUUUUAUAGUAAUAUGACACUCAAAACAUGGAAACUCAGAAAGGCUAUUCUACAGUGUAUGUGUUAAGAUAGGACGGACCUCUUGAUGCUUAAAGAUUGUAUAUAUAUAAUAAAUAAGAUCUUCGCAAGUAAUGCGAACUGACUCUGUUUGGUUUGAUAUAUGGAGUAAUAUUUUUAGUGGCAGAACAAGUUUUUUU